This 489-nucleotide ribosomal RNA is filed under the name uncultured bacterium. Its description in RNAcentral is "partial 16S ribosomal RNA". It matches the Rfam family "Bacterial small subunit ribosomal RNA", at positions 30 to 507 of the family's 1533-position model. The record is from RNAcentral.
AUUGAACGCUGGCGGCAGGCCUAACACAUGCAAGUCGAACGGUAACAGGAAGCAGCUUGCUGCUUUGCUGACGAGUGGCGGACGGGUGAGUAAUGUCUGGGAAACUGCCCGAUGGAGGGGGAUAACUACUGGAAACGGUAGCUAAUACCGCAUAACGUCGCAAGACCAAAGAGGGGGACCUUAGGCCUCUUGCCAUCGGAUGUGCCCAGAUGGGAUUAGCUAGUAGGUGGGGUAACGGCUCACCUAGGCGACGAUCCCUAGCUGGUGUGAGAGGAUGACCCGCCACACUGGAACUGAGACACGGUCCAGACUCCUACGGGAGGGAGCAGUGGGGAAUAUUGCACAAUGGGCGCGAGCCUGAUGCAGCCAGGCCGCGUGUAUGGAGAAGGCCUUCGGGUUGUAAAGUACUUUCAGCGGGGAGGAAGGGAGUAAAGUUAAUACCUUUGCUCAUUGACGUUACCCGCAGAAGAAGCACCGGCUAACUCCGUG